AGGGGAUAUUUGGUUGUAGCUGGCUCAUGAAUUUGGGCAUGUGCACACCUAUCUCUUUCAUCCACACACACCUGUGCACUUGUGAGGCAGAUGGGGAAUUUAUUGAUUGUUUUUUAAGAACAAUUGGUGCUGGACCCUCUGUCUACUCAAUAUAUAAACUCAAUUUAUUUAGAAAUGAAUGUAAUGGAUGUAACGCAUCUAAUACUAAGUUUCAACAACGGAUCUCUUGGCUCUCGCAUCGAUGAAGAACGCAGCGAAAUGCGAUAAGUAAUGUGAAUUGCAGAAUUCAGUGAAUCAUCGAAUCUUUGAACGCACCUUGCGCUCCUUGGUAUUCCUUGGAGCAUGCCUGUUUGAGUAUCAUGAAAUCUUCAAAGUAAAUCUUUUGUUAACUCAAUUGGUUCCACUUUGGUAUUGGAGGUCUUUGCAGCUUCACACCUGCUCCUCUUCGUUCAUUAGCUGGAUCUCAGUGUUAUGCUUGGUUCCACUCAGCGUGAUAAGUUAUCUAUCGCUGAGGACACUGUAACAGGUGGCCAAGGGAAAUGCAGAUGAACCGCUUCUAAUAGUCCAUUGACUUGGACACUAUUUUUAUGAUCUGAUCUCAAAUCAGGU
RNAcentral lists this ribosomal RNA (609 nucleotides) under Thanatephorus sp. CBS 174.84. RNAcentral describes it as "eukaryotic LSU rRNA". The stretch from base 207 to 360 matches the Rfam family "5.8S ribosomal RNA". The record is from RNAcentral. Lineage: Eukaryota; Fungi; Basidiomycota; Agaricomycetes; Cantharellales; Ceratobasidiaceae.